RNAcentral lists this non-coding RNA (71 nucleotides) under Philodina roseola. The record is from RNAcentral. Lineage: Eukaryota; Metazoa; Rotifera; Eurotatoria; Philodinida; Philodinidae.
UCGUCUAGAUACAUCGCCAUCUGAUGAUCUGCGUUGCUGCAGUGAAAUCCGGAUUAUGGCUGCUGUUCUCA